This 465-nucleotide ribosomal RNA is filed under the name uncultured delta proteobacterium. Its description in RNAcentral is "partial 16S ribosomal RNA". It matches the Rfam family "Bacterial small subunit ribosomal RNA", at positions 338 to 794 of the family's 1533-position model. Lineage: Bacteria; Deltaproteobacteria. The record is from RNAcentral.
CCUACGGGUGGCAGCAGUGGGGAAUCUUGCGCAAUGGGGGAAACCCUGACGCAGCAACGCCGCGUGGGUGAUGAAGGCCUUCGGGUCGUAAAGCCCUGUCAGGUGGGAAGAAUCUCAUCGGUGCUAAUAUCGCCGAUGAUUGACGGUACCACCGGAGGAAGCACCGGCUAACUCCGUGCCAGCAGCCGCGGUAAUACGGAGGGUGCAAGCGUUGUUCGGAAUUACUGGGCGUAAAGCGCGUGUAGGCGGUUGGGCAAGUCAGAGGUAAAAGCCCUCGGCUAAACCGAGGAAGGGCAUUUGAAACUACCGAGCAAGAGUUCGGGAGAGGAGAGUGAAAUUCCCGGUGUAGGGGUGAAAUUCGUAGAUAUCGGGAGGAACACCGGUGGCGAGGGCGGCUCUCUGGCCCGACACUGACGCUGAGACGCGAAAGCGGGGGGAGCAAACGGGAUUAGAUACCCGGGUAGU